This 279-nucleotide ribosomal RNA is filed under the name uncultured bacterium. RNAcentral describes it as "partial 16S ribosomal RNA". It matches the Rfam family "Bacterial small subunit ribosomal RNA", at positions 506 to 784 of the family's 1533-position model. The record is from RNAcentral.
UGCCAGCAGCCGCGGUAAUACGGAGGGGGUUAGCGUUGUUCAGAACUACUGGGCGUAAAGCGCGCGUAGGCGGCUGUUUAAGUCAGAUGUGAAAGUCCACGGCUCAACCGUGGAAGUGCAUUUGAAACUGGACAGCUUGAGUAUUGGAGGGGGUGGUGGAAUUCCCGGUGUAGAGGUGAAAUUCGUAGAUAUCGGGAGGAAUACCGGUGGCGAAGGCGACCACCUGGCCAAAUACUGACGCUGAGGUGCGAAAGCGUGGGGAGCAAACAGGAUUAGAUA